GAUUAUGGCUCAGGAUGAACGCUGGCGGCGCGCCUAACACAUGCAAGUCGAACGGUGAAGUCCCUUCGGGGGCGGAUCAGUGGCGGACGGGUGAGUAACGCGUGAGUAACCUGCCCUUACGAGCGGAAUAACGUCCGGAAACAGACGCUAAUACCGCAUGACACGUGCUUCCGGCAUCGGAGGCACGUCAAAGAUUUAUCGCGUAAGGAUGGACUCGCGUCCCAUUAGAUAGUUGGCGGGGCAACGGCCCACCAAGUCAGCGAUGGGUAGCCGGACUGAGAGGUUGAACGGCCACAUUGGAACUGAGAGACGGUCCAGACUCCUACGGGAGGCAGCAGUGGGGAAUAUUGGGCAAUGGGCGAAAGCCUGACCCAGCGACGCCGCGUGAGCGAAGAAGGUCUUCGGAUUGUAAAGCUCUGUUGACAGGGACGAAAAAUGACGGUACCUGUCGAGGAAGCCACGGCUAACUACGUGCCAGCAGCCGC
This 485-nucleotide ribosomal RNA is filed under the name uncultured bacterium. RNAcentral's name for it is "bacterial SSU rRNA". It matches the Rfam family "Bacterial small subunit ribosomal RNA", at positions 15 to 518 of the family's 1533-position model. The record is from RNAcentral.